This 492-nucleotide ribosomal RNA is filed under the name uncultured bacterium. Its description in RNAcentral is "partial 16S ribosomal RNA". It matches the Rfam family "Bacterial small subunit ribosomal RNA", at positions 29 to 507 of the family's 1533-position model. The record is from RNAcentral.
AGUGAACGCUGGCGGUAGGCCUAACACAUGCAAGUCGAACGGCAGCACAGUAAGAGCUUGCUCUUACGGGUGGCGAGUGGCGGACGGGUGAGGAAUACAUCGGAAUCUACUUUUUCGUGGGGGAUAACGUAGGGAAACUUACGCUAAUACCGCAUACGACCUACGGGUGAAAGCAGGGGAUCUUCGGAACUUGCGCGAUUGAAUGAGCCGAUGUCGGAUUAGCUAGUUGGCGGGGUAAAGGCCCACCAAGGCGACGAUCCGUAGCUGGUCUGAGAGGAUGAUCAGCCACACUGGAACUGAGACACGGUCCAGACUCCUACGGGAGGAAGCAGUGGGGAAUAUUGGACAAUGGGCGAAAGCCUGAUCCAGCAAUACCGCGUGGGUGAAGAAGGCCUUCGGGUUGUAAAGCCCUUUUGUUGGGAAAGAAAAGCAGCAGGUUAAUACCCCGCUGUUCUGACGGUACCCAAAGAAUAAGCACCGGCUAACUUCGUG